CGGGGUAGGGAGGCCGGGGCCGCUCCCGCGGUAAACUUGACUGUGUCCUCUUCCCCCGCAGCCGCUGCAGAGGGAGCGCCGCUCCGGGGCGGAGUGCGGGCUCGCGCGGCAAGUGCGCGCCGAGGUCACGAAAUGGAUUCGAGUGAACCGGAGACCCCGAAAACGGAAGCGCAGGGAGAAAGAAGAGGUGUUUGAAAAGCUUCUUCCAGACCAGCUGGUCUUGCUUCUGGAGCAUCUCUUGGAGCAGAAGACUCUGAGCCCCCGAACUCUGCAAAGCCUCCAGAGGACAUACCACCUCCAGGAUCAGGAUGCAGAGGUUCGCCAUCGGUGGUGUGAACUCAUUGUUAAACACAAGUUCACGAAAGCCUACAAAAGUGUGGAGAGGUUCCUUCAGGAGGAUCAGGCCAUGGGUGUGUACCUCUAUGGGGAGCUGAUGGUGAGUGAGGACGCCAGACAGCAGCAGCUCGCCCGCAGGUGCUUCGAGUGGACCAAGGAGCAGAUGGAUAGGUCCUCAGCCCAGGUGGUGGCCGAAAUGUUAUUUUAACGAGGAAAGACCACAGCGAGAUUCUUUCAUUCGUCUCCUCCUAGCCUGGGGGACCAGGCUCGAACUGACCCUGGACAUCAAAGGAGGGAUUAUGUGGCUGCUAAAGCCAUCGGCCCACAGCCCUGUUCACGUCUUGGUGCUUCUCUUUCCCAGAGUCUGGUCCCAGCCAGGCACACACAAAAGGCAGAUUCUCGUAAAUGCAGCCUCCCUCCCUGGAGGCCGCCUCCUGCCGUGGAUCUGGAGUGAAGCUGCUAUGGGAUUUUGAGUUCUGCACAGAUGAUUAAAUAUAUCCAAGAGACAUUGGAAAACCUGCUGAACAUUUUACAUUGGUGUGCUCAGCACAUGGCUGGAUGUGGAUAUUUCUAUAAUUCC
RNAcentral lists this small RNA (916 nucleotides) under Pongo abelii (Sumatran orangutan). RNAcentral describes it as "processed transcript". Lineage: Eukaryota; Metazoa; Chordata; Mammalia; Primates; Hominidae. The record is from RNAcentral.